RNAcentral lists this small RNA (127 nucleotides) under Marmota monax (woodchuck). The record is from RNAcentral. Lineage: Eukaryota; Metazoa; Chordata; Mammalia; Rodentia; Sciuridae.
GCUGGGUGCAGUGGUGCAUGCCUGUAUUCCCAGCAACUCAGGAGGCUGAGGCAGGAGGAUCACAAGUUCAAUACCAGCCUUAGCAACUUAAAGAGACCCUAAGCAACUUAGCCAGAUCCUGUCUCAA